Molecule: ribosomal RNA, 248 nt
Filed under: uncultured Actinomycetales bacterium
Lineage: Bacteria; Bacillati; Actinomycetota; Actinomycetes; Actinomycetales
Description: partial 16S ribosomal RNA
Rfam family: Bacterial small subunit ribosomal RNA
Source: RNAcentral
GGGUGCUCGAGUGGCGAACGGGUGAGUAACACGUGAGUAACCUGCCCUCGACUUUGGGAUAACUUCAGGAAACUGGGGCUAAUACCGGAUAGGAGCUCCUGCUGCAUGGUGGGGGUUGGAAAGUUUCGGCGGUUGGGGAUGGACUCGCGGCUUAUCAGCUUGUUGGUGGGGUAGUGGCUUACCAAGGCUUUGACGGGUAGCCGGCCUGAGAGGGUGACCGGCCACAUUGGGACUGAGAUACGGCCCAG